RNAcentral lists this ribosomal RNA (250 nucleotides) under uncultured Chroococcidiopsis sp. Its description in RNAcentral is "partial 16S ribosomal RNA". It matches the Rfam family "Bacterial small subunit ribosomal RNA", at positions 796 to 1044 of the family's 1533-position model. The record is from RNAcentral. Lineage: Bacteria; Bacillati; Cyanobacteriota; Cyanophyceae; Chroococcidiopsidales; Chroococcidiopsidaceae.
CUAGCCGUAAACGAUGGAUACUAGGCGUUGUGAGUAUCGACCCUCACAGUGUCGUAGCUAACGCGUUAAGUAUCCCGCCUGGGGAGUACGCGCGCAAGCGUGAAACUCAAAGGAAUUGACGGGGGCCCGCACAAGCGGUGGAGUAUGUGGUUUAAUUCGAUGCAACGCGAAGAAUCUUACCAGGACUUGACAUGUCGCGAAUCUCAGGGAAACUUGAGAGUGCCUUCGGGAGCGCGAACACAGGUGGUGC